GACAGAGGGUGCAAGCGUUGUUCGGAUUUAUUGGGCGUAAAGAGUGCGUAGGCGGCGCGGUAAGUCGGGUGUGAAAUCUCGGAGCUUAACUCCGAAACUGCAUUCGAUACUGCCGUGCUUGAGGACUGGAGAGGAGACUGGAAUUUACGGUGUAGCGGUGAAAUGCGUAGAUAUCGUAAGGAAGACCAGUGGCGAAGGCGGGUCUCUGGACAGUUCCUGACGCUGAGACGCGAAAGCGUGGGGAGCAAACAGG
Molecule: ribosomal RNA, 253 nt
Filed under: uncultured bacterium
Lineage: Bacteria
Description: partial 16S ribosomal RNA
Rfam family: Bacterial small subunit ribosomal RNA
Source: RNAcentral